Molecule: ribosomal RNA, 495 nt
Filed under: uncultured bacterium
Lineage: Bacteria
Description: partial 16S ribosomal RNA
Rfam family: Bacterial small subunit ribosomal RNA
Source: RNAcentral
GACGAACGCUGGCGGCGUGCCUAAUACAUGCAAGUCGAACGCUGAAGGAGGAGCUUGCUUCUCCGGAUGAGUUGCGAACGGGUGAGUAACGCGUAGGUAACCUGCCUGGUAGCGGGGGAUAACUAUUGGAAACGAUAGCUAAUACCGCAUAAGAGUAGAUGUCGCAUGACAUUUGCUUAAAAGGUGCAACUGCACCACUACCAGAUGGACCUGCGUUGUAUUAGCUAGUUGGUGAGGUAACGUCUCACCAAGGCAACGAUACAUAGCCGACCUGAGAGGGUGAUCGGCCACACUGGGACUGGGACACGGCCCAGACUCCUACGGGAGGCAGCAGUAGGGAAUCUUCGGCAAUGGACGGAAGGCUGACCGAGCAACGCCGCGGGAGGGAAGAAGGUUUUCGGAUCGUAAAGCUCUGUUGUAAGAGAAGAACGAGUGUGAGAGUGGAAAGUUCACACUGUGACGGUAUCUUACCAGAAAGGGACGGCUAACUACGUG